This 485-nucleotide ribosomal RNA is filed under the name uncultured bacterium. RNAcentral describes it as "bacterial SSU rRNA". It matches the Rfam family "Bacterial small subunit ribosomal RNA", at positions 28 to 507 of the family's 1533-position model. The record is from RNAcentral.
GAUGAACGCUAGCGGCAGGCCUAACACAUGCAAGUCGAGGGGCAUCGCGGUGCAGCAAUGCACUGGCGGCGACCGGCGUACGGGUGCGUAACGCGUAUGCAACCUGCCCCGCACCGGGGGAUAGCCCGCCGAAAGGCGGAUUAAUACCCCAUGGCCCCGGGGGCCCGCAUGGGCAUCCGGGUAAAGCUUUGGCGGUGCGGGAUGGGCAUGCGUGCCAUUAGCUGGCUGGUGGGGUAACGGCCCACCAGGGCAACGAUGGCUAGGGGGUCUGAGAGGAUGGUCCCCCACACUGGUACUGAGACACGGACCAGACUCCUACGGGAGGCAGCAGUGAGGAAUAUUGGUCAAUGGGCGGAAGCCUGAACCAGCCAUGCCGCGUGCGGGAUGAAGGCCCUACGGGUUGUAAACCGCUUUUCCCCGGGAAGAAUAACCCCGAUGAGUCGGGGGAUGCCGGUACCGGGGAAUAAGGAUCGGCUAACUCCGUG